AUGAACGCUGGCGGCGUGCUUAACACAUGCAAGUCGAACGGAAAGGCCACAGCUUGCUGUGGUACUCGAGUGGCGAACGGGUGAGUAACACGUGGGUGAUCUGCCCUGUACUUCGGGAUAAGCUUGGGAAACUGGGUCUAAUACCGGAUAGGAAUCACAUGUGGGUGUGUGGUUGGAAAGCUUUUGCGGUAUGGGAUGAGCUCGCGGCCUAUCAGCUUGUUGGUGGGGUAAUGGCCUACCAAGGCGUCGACGGGUAGCCGGCCUGAGAGGGUGUACGGCCACAUUGGGACUGAGAUACGGCCCAGACUCCUACGGGAGGCAGCAGUGGGGAAUAUUGCACAAUGGGCGCAAGCCUGAUGCAGCGACGCCGCGUGGGGGAUGACGGCCUUCGGGUUGUAAACUCCUUUCGUCAGGGACGAAGCGAAAGUGACGGUACCUGGAUAAGAAGCACCGGCUAACUACGUGCCAGCAGCCGCGGUAAUACGUAGGGUGCGAGCGUUGUCCGGAAUUACUGGGCGUAAAGAGCUCGUAGGUGGUUUGUCGCGUCGUUUGUGUAAGUCCACGGCUUAACUGUGGGAUGGCAGGCGAUACGGGCAUAACUUGAGUGCUGUAGGGGAGACUGGAAUUCCUGGUGUAGCGGUGAAAUGCGCAGAUAUCAGGAGGAACACCGAUGGCGAAGGCAGGUCUCUGGGCAGUAACUGACGCUGAGGAGCGAAAGCAUGGGUAGCGAACAGGAUUAGAUACCCUGGUAGUCCAUGCCGUAAACGGUGGGCGCUAGGUGUGAGUCCCUUCCACGGGGUUCGUGCCGUAGCUAACGCAUAAGCGCCCCGC
This 831-nucleotide ribosomal RNA is filed under the name Corynebacterium lipophiloflavum. Its description in RNAcentral is "bacterial SSU rRNA". It matches the Rfam family "Bacterial small subunit ribosomal RNA", at positions 29 to 872 of the family's 1533-position model. Lineage: Bacteria; Bacillati; Actinomycetota; Actinomycetes; Mycobacteriales; Corynebacteriaceae. The record is from RNAcentral.